UUUCAAAUCAUAUUUCAUUGCAAAGCAGCUGUCUCCACUUAUAUCGGGACGCCCAUGUCCGUGCAGUGCUUCAAAAAGCAUAGCAUUGCAAGCUCCGGAUGUUUUCCAAGUAUAUAAAUUGGUUGCUGAGUUCUUAAGCAAAGAUUUGGGAGCUAGGAGAGUGGAGAAAGCCGCUGAACAGGUUAAUUCUUUGAUUGGGGUGAUUCUUGUAUGUAAACAAGUGUGUGUUAUUGCAAGGAGAUGAGUGUGGAAAGUGAUUCAAAGUUAAUUUAUCGUUUUCAGAUUUGGUUAGUGUCUGGAAGGAUAGGCUUGAAGGCUUCUUGACCACUCACGAGUGAUAAAAUAUAUAAAGAGAUUAGUGUUGGAGGGUCAACAGUGAUAUUCUUAGCUGGAGUUGUUAUUUCUGAGAUUUUCUUGUUGAAGCUGUGCUUGGAUUUACGGAUGGGUAAUUGGGGAGUGGAGUUGGAGGAGCUGAGGAGUUGGAUUGUUGGCUUGGGUUGCAGAGCUUCUUCUUCCUGGAGACCCUUGUGUGGAUUCUGUUGGAGCCAACCUUUCCUGUGACUUCACUGUUGGUUAUUAACAAAUUUUUCCUCGGUGUUUAAUCCCUUAGACUAGCGGUAUUGCUAUUGUAAAAGCACCAUGUGGGAAAAUUUUCUAUGCACAGAUGGGAAGAAAGUUCUUUGAGAACAGUUCUGCAUGAUGCUGCUAUAUUGGUAGAAUAUUCUUUCCACAGUCCUGAUGGAGCAAUCAGUGUACCAGGCAAUUGGGAGAGAGAUGUUGCAGCGAAAAGAUUGAUCACUACACAUGAAGCCAUAGAGCUUUUCAGUUUCCAGACCAUCCCAAAUUAUCAAGUGUGUCACCAGCCAGGUUGGCAUGGAGGAAGAAGCAAGCAGAUUGAAGAGAGCAUCACCUAAAGCUCUGAUAAGUUAUUGUUUCUUAUUGUCAUAGAUAUCUGCAUCCUGUAGUUCUUGCUUCAAAACAAUCUGUUCCUGCAUCUUAUAUUUCAUGCUUACCUCAACACUUCAAUACUAAGAAUCGAGAUUCGAAUCAAAAUCAGAACUUAAGCCAAAUUGAGAAUUGAGAUUUGGUUCAAUUUUCAAUCACUUCGAUUCUAAUUUUGACUAAAAAAAAAACGAACGAUUCUGGUUCCUCCAGGACCCGAACAUAACCUAACUUUAACCACUCUUGCCUAUCAGAUGUCACAUGACAUAUUAAAGGAUUUUAUCGCAUAUAUCUUCUAAUCGUCUUGUCUAAUUCUGGAUAUUAGGCCCAUCUCUUUUUUUUUUUUUUUUAAAUCAUUUCAUUUAAGGUUUUGAAUUUUCUUUAUAAAAUCUUAGCUAAGCUUAUAUACAGAGCAAUCUCUUCAGUCUUCUCUCUCCACUCAAUAUGGCCAAUGCAAGCUUUGACCUGGACGACGCUUUCUCUUCUCUCACUCUGAACAAUAUGGCCAAUGAAAGCUUUGAUGUCGAAGAGCGUCCAACUUUGCCGCAGGAGCGAAUCACAGCAUCAAAUUCUCUGGUGGAUGGGAUGCCAAUGGUAGUUACAGAUGAUGUUUGUAUGGUUUGUAUGGAGGGUUUCGAAUCAAGUAUAGGUGGAAAACGAGUCCCAUGCGGCCACGUCUAUCAUUCUGUGUGCAUCUCCUCCUGGCUCUCCCACAGUAAUUCUUGUCCUUUGUGCCGCUGCAACAUCACCGGUGAGCAAUGAGCAUAUGUUAUUUAAGGCUGUGGCAGCUGUUAGUUUAAUCGUUGAAUAGAAGUUUCAGUUUUGCUUAUGUAAUUGAGGGUUUUGUUCUAAAAUAAAUCGUGACAUAGUUAAAUUUGAUACAAUUUUUUCCAAAGAUUAGAGGCGAGCACUGGAAAGUGGAAAUUUGGCUG
Molecule: long non-coding RNA, 1874 nt
Organism: Hevea brasiliensis (rubber tree)
Lineage: Eukaryota; Viridiplantae; Streptophyta; Magnoliopsida; Malpighiales; Euphorbiaceae
Exons: 3
Source: RefSeq, a predicted model, not a curated record